Long non-coding RNA from Mirounga angustirostris (Northern elephant seal), 7878 nucleotides. RefSeq lists it as uncharacterized. The transcript is spliced from 14 exons. The record is from RefSeq and is a predicted model, not a curated record. NCBI's taxonomy places the organism in Eukaryota, Metazoa, Chordata, Mammalia, Carnivora, Phocidae.
CCAGAGCAAAGAGACUGGGGUGGGCUUUGAGCACAUUUCUGAGCUUCUCAAAGCUCUGGUUUCCUCAUCUGGAGAACCUACCUCACAAGGGUUUGGACUAAAGUUAUAAAUAGAAAGAUGCUCCAUAAAUGGGAUCUCACGGGUGCUGGCCCACUCUCUCCUGGAACCUCACUUUGCAAACAAGUAGAUCAUCGUGUACCAUCAGUGAGCGAUGUGGGCCCUUUGGAGAGACAAACCCAUGUGCCUUCUGGAGCCAAGCAGGCGACACAAACAAGUGGAGUGGCCUGAGUGUAAGGGAACCAUAGUUCAGGCAGCCAGGAAAAUGAACAUAAUAAUACCCUCCUUGGAGGGUUAUGAUGUGCGUGAAGCUCUGAGGACCAUGCCUGGCACUUAAUGGAGCCUCGAUCAAGUAAUACCUGUCGUCAGCGGGGGCCCACCGAGCACUCAGCCCUGCUCCCUGACACCCUAGUUUUCUUGCCACUCCGAAAAAGGCUGAAACAGAACACCCCCAUCCCUGGCCGCUAAAUUCCAAUCUACACUUUGCAAAAUUCAUUCUCCUGCCAGAAAGGUAGCGCUUUCCACCCUGGUCUCAUGGUCCCCGAGAAGAAUAGAGAAGCGAAAGGAAGGAGCAGGCUCUCUCCCAAGUAGGCGGCUGCGGGGGGUGGGGGGCUGUUAAGGAGCCAGAAACAAGCGCGGGAAUGGGCGCUCAUCCUGGCUUGGCCACUAACAAGCUAUGGGAACUUGGACAAAUGGCUGAGCGACUCCGGGUCUCCGUCCGACUGUGUAGAGGUGGGCGGUGAUGUCCACCUCGGAGAGCCAUCAGGAGGCUGUAAAGUUGUACCUUGUCCCAGCUAUUCUCUGUCAACCCCACCACAGAUCUUCCGGCCUUGUGCCCGGGAGUUUGACUGCAGUAGCACGUCCCCCCCCGCCGCCCCCGUCCUCUGGUCCCCCGGAGGAAUCGGCGGAGGAAAUGCGCCAACAGGACUCAAGAUAUAGCGGCCUCCCCUUGGAGAAAUCAAACCCUAAUCUCCAGCAGAACAGGAUCUAGAAGCACCUUCUUUCUUCUCGUCCUGUAGAUACACUUGAUGGAGGGCAUCUAUUUGAAUCCUCACCACAAACAUGCAGGAAAGAUGUCUCUUCUCUUAUUGACAAGGCAGACUGGAGAAAAUGGAAGCAUUUGAGGCCUGAGAUGACUGGGCUGAACUUCUUAAUGGAGUGAUUUUUUUUUUUUUUUUUUAAGUGAUUUGUUUCUGGAGAAUAGGCAGUCCAGGGCAAGCUAAGUGGACUGAGUUCCUGGAGAGAGCGGAAGACAGGGCUUGCCUGAUGUCUGUCCACCUGUCAUGGGGGAAUGGAGGGGGAAAACAGCCCCUGCAGAAAUCUGCUUGGAGACGCAUCCACUCCCAUGGGCCCCACGGACCCAUCCCUGACAGCCAUCAUAGGUAUUGAUCAACCACAAGAGCAGAUUUCUAGAAUAAUACGUGCCCGUUAUAGGACACACAUAUUCACAUGCAAAACUUGGACUCUCUGGCUCCAAGAUCUUAAGGGGGUUAUUUCUGGGUGGUGGGAACGUGAGUGGCUUUUUUUCCUUCCUGCUUCUCUGGAGUGCCUCGCUUUUCCUCUGUAGUCUUAUAUCACUUAACGAUCCAUAGGUGUCAUCACAACACAUACCACACCCCCUUCGCUCUGUCUCCACAUUCCCUCCACCCUCUUUCCCCUGUCAUUCCCUUCCCACGCUUGAUUUUAGCCAAAAGGUGGAGAAGCGAUGUCAUUGCCUUUUCAAAGUGAUGAUUUAAAAAAAAAAAGGUCUCUCUCCCGCAUAUCCUCCGAGAAUACAAUGGCAGGAAGCAGGUAGCCCAGGACAGUAAGGCCCAAUUUCCAGGUCCUGAGCUCCAGGAACAGGGAGCCCGAGUCAGGCGGCCGGGACCACGGAUCCAGAGUAUGACCUUUGAAGCAGAGAUUCAGAGACUUGCCCGUUUCUUCAUUUGUCCCGUGGAGAGACCACUGUCUUCCUCCCACAGAACCUCCAGAGGAGAGCCCUGCCUGGCCCAAACCAUGAGUUUGGCCUUGUGAGACCUUAACCAGAGACCCCAGCUGGGAAGUCCAAGAUGAGGGUGCCAGCAGGGUCAUGUCCUGGUGAGGACCCUUCUCCUGGUUUGCAGACGGUCGCCUUCCUGUUGUGUGGUCACAUGGUGGAGAGAGAGAUUGUCUCCCUGGAGUCUCUUUUUACGGCGCACCGAUCCCAUUCAUGAGGGCUCCCAAAGGCCUCAUCCCCAAAUGCCGUCACCCUGGGGAUUAGGCUUCAAGGUGGCUCUCCUGGUGUUACAACUCCAAUCUGGAAAUUGGUUCUGCGUUGUGUCAGAAUAGCAAUGAGGAUAUCCCUUUCAUGCCCACUGCGUAGGGUGAGGUGGCCAAAGGCAUGGGCCCUCAGCGUCAGGCACUGUUGCCUUUUGCAGGUCGGUCGUUAGCCACCAUUUCAGUCACGGUUCCCUGUUGCUCAGUGUCACGGGACCCAAACAGCUCUGCAAACAGGAAUAAUCAGCAGCUACGCCGUGGGGUCGAGGGGAGUUCAGGGCACCAGUGAGGAGCCAUGGGUGUUGUGGAGGGAGCCUAAGGCUGGGAAGCUGAGCGGAGAGCAGUUAUUAAAAUAAAAUUCCUUUAGCCAUAGCUACCAUUUCCUGAGCCCCUGUGUGCCCCCAGCAGUGGGAGACCCUCUUUUCAAAGAGUUGAUAGGAAAAACUGCAUCAAAAUAACCACAGGAUCUAAGAUAAAAAUUGUCUGCACUCCAGUCACCUAAUUAAGUCAAUAUUUUUAUUUUUCCCCCCAUACCUAUAUGGUGCUUCCUAGUCAUUAUCACAUCACAGAGACCACUUAGGAUACUAAUUUCCACAAUUUCACUUUAAUUUUUACCAUACAUGAUAUUUCUCUUUUGUGAAAAUCACAGUUUAUCUCUUUCUCCCAACUUUCCCUCCCUACCCUCCGACCCUGGAACCAGUACGAACAGCCUGAAAGUAUCUCCUAUGUCUUUCUCUGUGUGCGUUGAAAAUAGUGACACAAACGGCAGAGAUUCACUUCCCGCUCAUGACCGGGGGGAGGCGCUGUUUGUACCGUGUUGUGUCCGUGUCUGCUUGCAGGUGCUCGGGCCCUCCCCGCGGCCGCGUGACCGAAGCCCCUGGGGUCCUCCUCAGUUAACACAUGAAGAAACCGAGGCCCAACAGAGAUCUGAGUUCAAAACCUCAAGGAUCUAUGUUCCUCUCUCAGCAAGAAGCACUGCAGAGACGUGCACCAAACGGGAGUGAAGAUUAAUACAGUCUGACACAGAGAGCGUUUCCAGGAAGUUCAGGAGAACAUGGGAACAGGUUAAAUGACAACACGGUGAUGUGUCAGGAGAACCCAGAAUGUGAGAAGUUCUACAACAGGACAAAUAACCCAAUUCUUCCAACGAAUAAAGGUCCUUAAAUGCCUUUUGGGUGCGUCAUGUUGCGGGUCAGGACGCUCACAAAAACGGUGUAUGUUCGAGAUUUCCCGUAGAAGAAUCACAAUGAAAGAAAAGGACAGAUUUGGGAGGCCAAAGACCUUUCUGGAACACAGCCCCAUGUGUGGACCUCUCCAGGCUUCUUGGCUUCCAGUUCUCCUACUUUUCCCUCCUAGAUACCGUCCAGGACCUAAGCAUGGCUCUCUGUCCCUCCUCCUUCACCUUCUUCACACCUCUGACUGAGCCUUCUGAGUGUUCUAGAAGGGACUCACUCCUUCCAGGCACAGAACCCCUCUAGUGAUCUGGCUGCAAAGGGGAGUGAGCGCAGUGGGGAAGCAUAUGCCCAUCCUGGCCUCAGGCAUCAUGGACAGAAGACACACAUUGAGCAGGAGAAUCAUCAUGGAGCCAGAAUUUAAAAAGACAAAGACUUUCUGAAGAACUUCCCCAUCGGGGCAAAGCACUCCAAGGUCCAGAGCAGCAAGCAGCUUUCAGGGCAGAGCAGCACCCACCAAGAACAGCUGGUGGAGUUGCACAGCCCCCAGCUUUCCACCCCAACCCAUCCUGCCCUCCCUGCCAGAGUGAAAACAGUGUCCUGGUGAAAGCACCAGCUUCGGACUCAGGCAACCUGGGAAUCAGAAUCUCAGCUCCAACCCUUGCUAACCGUGAGAAUGUCAGCAAGCCUUUACUUAACUCCAAAAGCAUCUACCAUACUCCAACUUCAAGUGUAGCCUGAGUGAAAGAGAACCAUGAACCCAAAAGUGUUGGUGAAGACAAUGGUCCAGCAAGAACAUGCUUUCCAGAGAAUGAUGCUCUCCUCCACCUGCCAAGACCUCUUCCUCAUUCGGCCAAUGAAAUAAGCCUUUGUUACAUCACCUUAUGUAUAUAAAGGGUUUAUUUACUUUCAACUUACUGUGUAUUAUUUAUUUAAACUUGUUUUUAUUAUUCAGUGAUAUAUUUUUCUCUCUGUGAAAAUCAUUUGGAUGUCUUUCGUUGGGUUAGGAUACAGCCAUGUUUUCCCCAUUAAAAUCAAGGCAACUAUUUUUUCCACUUAACAGCUUUUCACUUGGUGGCAGGUCAAAUUAAAGUCUUCAAAAGGUGUUUAGGGGCUGCCUGACUGGCUCAGUCAGUGGAGCGUGCAACUCUUGAUCUCAGGGUUGUGUGUUUGAGCCCAACGUUGGGUGUAGAGUUUCCUUUAAAAAUCUUUAGAGGUGCCUGGGUGGCUCAGUCAGUUAAGUAUCUGACUCUUGAUUUCGGCUCAGGUCAUGAUCUCAGGAUCCUGGGAUCGAGCCCCCCAUCGGGUUCCCCACUCAGCAGGGUGUCUGCUUGUCUCCCUCUCUCCCUCUCCCUCUGCCCCGACCCCCACUUGCACGCACUCGAGCUCUCUUUCUCUCAAAUAAAUAAAUCUUUAAAAAAAUAAAAAUAAAAAUCUUUAAAAAAAUAAAAGGUGUUCAGGAAAGGAGAUGUAAAUACACAACUUGGCUUGACAGUGGACAAUAUUUAUAUGAUCCUAAUCAUGAAAACAACAAUAUGAAUUUAAUAAAAGAGGUGAUUUAAGCCAUAUAGGGUGUAUGAGAGGAGAAUUGUAUGUGAGGGUGCCCUAUCGAGGGUGAGUCUUCAUCUUCCUUAUUAGGGAGUCAACAUAUGAUAUAUAAAUCUGAAAAAUCAAGAAUAGCAAUAUAAACAAGUUAUUUAGAAAAAUGGAAGUAAAUAUGAGGAGAAGCACUUAAAAGGGUUACAAGUGGUUGCAUCUGUAAGUGAGGACUGGGGUGACGAGGUGGCAGGGACUGUUUUUUAUAAGCUUCAUGAGACUGACUUUUGAAAGUAAUGACUUUGAUAAAAAUUAAAAUCAUGUUUAAAAACUAAUAAAUAUUCAUUAGAAAAAGUUUAGAAAAUACACAUAUGAAAAGAGAAUAAAAUAAAAGCCAUUCAUAGCAUCUCAACCCGGAGGCCACAGAUGAAACAUUGGCACGUUAGUUUUGAGUCUUUCCACUAUACAUAAAUAUACGCACAGUUUUUUAAAAUGUGAGAUCAUAUUGUUAAUAUUAUUUGCAAUGUGCCUUUUUCCCCUAAAAGUAACUGUGGGGAACUUUUCCAUAUCAAUAUUCAUCCACUACAUCAUUUUAAUGGCUGAAUAUUCCCCAUCAUAUGGAUAAUACUAUAAUUUAUUUAAUUCAACCCAACAUUAACCAUUAAUUAUUCAAUCAGCCUAAUUCUCUCAGCAAACAAAUGCAACUUUAGGUACUUUGGGAACGAUAGCCAAAAAGAAUUUUCUCUACUCUGGAUUCAAUUGUUGUCAUCAAUCAUUUCUAUUUCGCUUUACCAGCAAAAGAGUGAGAUAUUUCACUUGCUCUCCCCUGACAAUCCACAGUUUUGUUUUUUAAUUCCAUCUCCCAUUAAAAGUGUAAAUGGAAUGCAUGUGUGGAGAUGGCCAUUCUUGCCUGCCAGGGUCAUUUUUCAACUUCAGGUAACAGCACCUCCAUUUCCCUAGGUGGAAGCCCCUCCCCCCUCCUCCCGCAUUGCUCCGCCCAUGUGGUUUGGGUCAAACUGACCGCACCACCAGGUCCGGCCUCCUUCAUCUCUCUGGCCUCCGUGAAUGGUUCAGAGAUGGAUGUGUGCACAGAACUGAAGCAAGCCCAGAACUUGUACUGGGAACCUUAGGGAAGAGGAAUUCUCUCUCUUUUCCCUGGGAUCGCGGAGCUGAUAAAAGUUUAAGUCUAGAGUGGCUGACUCUUGCCAUUACAAAGGAAGGGCGGCGCCUGGGGAUAAAGCCAAAGAGGAAGAAGGAUCAGCCAAAGGAUGUAAAAAGCCAGAUUCCUGGUAACACUUUCUGAGCACCUGGUUCCAGACGUGCCUGACGUUCUUGCAAAACAAGUUGUAUGAAUGAACACAUUUCCAUUUUUUCUUAAUCUCUUUUGGUUGGGGCUAGCAUAUACUCCAAGUCAAAUCAUUGAAACAGGACAGAAAACGAGAAAGUGAAAAUUUAAAAUUUCUCUCCUUAAGCCCUCCUGCCAAUUCUCAGUCCACCCCCGCCGGGGCAGUCACGCUGCCUACAGCGUCUUACCUCUGCUUCCAAAAUGAGUCUGUGCAUUCACAAACAGGCUAGUAGUCAUAAAUACCUAAACAGGGUCACACUAUCCACCUUAUCCUGCCACUUGUAUCUUCUACUUUACCCUGAAGGGAAGAUUACCUCUCCUUACCACAUCUAGACAUUUUGUUCAUUUUUCCUAAGCCCUAUACAGACGCCUCCUAUUCUAACCAGUCCUGCACUGAUGGCCAUUGAGGUUCACCCCGUUUUCUACCACUAAAAACCAGCUGUGAUGAGCAUCCUUCUUAUAGAAUUACAUGAGGCAAAUCCAGAAAGCUGAUGAAGCUAAUGUUUCUGGGCCCUCGUCACCCAGGCCCCUUCUGGGAUCAGCUUAGUGAGAGGUAUAUAAGUAGUCGCUAGUUGUACAGUGUAGGAACAGCUUCCAGAAAUGCUCCUCCUACCCCCUGUGCCAACUAACAAGGUCAAGAUACAAAGGUUCAGGGCCAUCAGUCAUAACUCAGUAAAAACAGGCCUGGGGACAACAGGAUGGAAUUUUGGAGCGUGGAAGAGAAAUGGUCCAAAAUGUACAGAGCCGGGGGCUAGUCUGCAGAAGGUUCUUCCAAUCAUCACAGGUAGGAAAAGGGCUUUGUUUCUCACCCAAAUCUGUCAGAAACAUACUUGAUAAUGCAGCAUAUAUAUACCACUAUAAAUGUACCAUAUGCUUUUCUCUUUUUUGAUGGGCAUCAUGAAGAAUAGAACUUAUCAAAAUUUCUGUCUUUGUAGAGCACCGAUGUGUAGAAGUACCACAAACAGUGGGUAUGUCUAUGUGAAAUGGGAUGUUUUAUGCAUCAAAGCUAUCAAUAAUGAAAAAACAAAUUUCGAUUUACUAUGCUAUAGGAAAGAGUGAAUUGUCUUCCUAUUCUAAAAUACUUCAAAAUUGUCAUCCUAUGUAGAGGAAGUGAUCAAAGCCUAAAAGAAAUGUGGGGGGAAAAGGCAUGAUCAGGGUGCAUCAGGCAGUAGAUUAAUAGAAAUAUGAUGUUAGUUUUCUGAAUUUUGCGAUGCUUAUGGUAUUUGUCAGCUUUUAAUAAUUUGUUAUUUUUGUAAUUUCCCUUCUCGUUGUAAAUAAAUAUUCACUAUUGUGCCUGACUUGUAUUUAUAAUUUUUUAAAGAGGCUCUCAAAAAUUGCAUGCACUUCAGGCCCUAAAACACUUGGAUCUGCCCCCGCAAAAUGGCUGACCUGCAGGAUCCGGAGGCAGACCGCCCAGCUUCACGUCUCGGCCGGGCCAUGGCUAUCGACUGAAUGUUCAGGGCCCCCAGAUCCGUAUGUUGAAACCUAAUCUCCAAUGUGAUCGUAUUCGGAGGUGGGGCCGUUCGGAGGUGA